CGCGUAUGCAACCUACCCAUUACAGGGGGAUAACACUGAGAAAUCGGUACUAAUACCCCAUAACAUCCAGGGAGGCAUCUUCUUGGGUUGAAAACUCCGGUGGUAAUGGAUGGGCAUGCGUUGUAUUAGUUAGUUGGUGGGGUAACGGCUCACCAAGACGACGAUACAUAGGGGGACUGAGAGGUUAACCCCCCACAUUGGUACUGAGACACGGACCAAACUCCUACGGGAGGCAGCAGUGAGGAAUAUUGGUCAAUGGACGCAAGUCUGAACCAGCCAUGCCGCGUGCAGGAAGACAGCUCUAUGAGUUGUAAACUGCUUUUGUACGAGGGUAAACGCAGAUACGUGUAUCUGUCUGAAAGUAUCGUACGAAUAAGGAUCGGCUAACUCCGUGCCAGCAGCCGCGGUAAUACGGAGGAUUCAAGCGUUAUCCGGAUUUAUUGGGUUUAAAGGGUGCGUAGGCGGUCGGAUAAGUUAGAGGUGAAAUCCCGGGGCUCAACUUCGGAAUUGCCUCUGAUACUGUUCGGCUAGAGAGUACUUGCGGUAGGCGGAAUGUAUGGUGUAGCGGUGAAAUGCUUAGAGAUCAUACAGAACACCGAUUGCGAAGGCAGCUUACCAAGCUACUUCUGACAUUGAGGCACGAAAGCGUGGGGAGCAAACAGGAUUAGAUACCCUGGUAGUCCACGCAGUAAACGAUGAUAACUCGUUGUCG
This 712-nucleotide ribosomal RNA is filed under the name uncultured bacterium. RNAcentral describes it as "bacterial SSU rRNA". It matches the Rfam family "Bacterial small subunit ribosomal RNA", at positions 114 to 825 of the family's 1533-position model. The record is from RNAcentral.